Molecule: ribosomal RNA, 1136 nt
Filed under: uncultured bacterium
Lineage: Bacteria
Description: bacterial SSU rRNA
Rfam family: Bacterial small subunit ribosomal RNA
Source: RNAcentral
GACUUGUAUAGUGGGAUCGGUUGCAGUCGCCUCCGUGGCAGCAGUGCAUGAUUCAUUCGCAUUGGUGAAGCUGACGGUGGACGCGCUUGGGAGAUGAAGCCUAGGUCGUUAACUCCUGUCAUCAGGGAGUAAUGGCUUUACGUAGUAACUGACGUGGGCAGUGAUAGUACCUGAGAGGAAGGGACGGCAAACUUCGUGCCAGCAGCCGCGGUAUACGAAGGUCUCAAGCGUUGUUCGGAUUUACUGGGCGUAAAGCGUCUGUAGGCGGAGUGGUAAGUCAGAUGUGAAAUCCCGGGGCUCAACCCCGGAACUACAUCCGAUACUGCCACCCUAGAGGGUCGGAGGGGAGUCUGGAAUUCUCGGUGUAGCAGUGAAAUGCGUAGAUAUCGAGAGGAACACUAGUGGCGAAGGCGAGACUCUGGACGACACCUGACGCUGAGAGACGAAGGCCAGGGUAGCGAAAAGGAUUAGAUACCCUUGUAGUCCUGGCAGUAAACGGUGCACGCUUGGUGUGGGGAGGUUCGACCCUCUCCGUGCCGGAGCUAACGCGUUAAGCGUGCCGCCUGGGGAGUACGGUCGCAAGAUUAAAACUCAAAGAAAUUGACGGGGACCCGCACAAGCGGUGGAGCAUGUGGCUUAAUUCGAUGCAACGCGAAGAACCUUACCUGGGCUUGACAUGUUAGUCGUAGAUUUGUGAAAGCUUAUCGUCACUUCGGGUGGACUAUCACAGGUGCUGCAUGGCUGUCGUCAGCUCGUGUCGUGAGAUGUCAGGUUAAGUCCUAUAACGAGCGCAACCCCUAUGAACUGUUGCCAGCGAGUAAUGUCGGGGACUCUGUUCAGACUGCCCAGAUUAACUGGGAGGAAGGAGGGGAUGACGUCAAGUCAGUAUGGCCCUUACGCCCAGGGCUGCACACGUGCUACAAUGUCCAGUACAAUAUGAACCGAUACCGCGAGGUGGAGGAAAUCUCAAAAACUGGGCUCAGUUCGGAUUGUAGGCUGCAACUCGCCUACAUGAAGUUGGAAUCGCUAGUAAUGGUACAUCAGCUACGGUACCGUGAAUACGUUCCCGGGUCUUGUACACACCGCCCGUCACAUCAUGGAAGCCGCUCGCACCCGAAGUAUCUUCAAUUACCACG